This 11519-nucleotide long non-coding RNA is filed under the name Nicotiana tabacum (common tobacco). RNAcentral describes it as "long non-coding RNA (NTAB_LNC009957)". Lineage: Eukaryota; Viridiplantae; Streptophyta; Magnoliopsida; Solanales; Solanaceae. The record is from RNAcentral.
CUAAUCUCAAUUCCAAAGGAGGGGAAUGGAGAUACCUAAAAGAAAAAGCUACUGCCGCCGCAAACCCCCAAAGAAAUCCACCACGUCUUCUCCUCCAUUCCCCCACCCCACUGCCUUUCCACAUUAAUAUAUUUCUACUAAGACUUCUUAGUAGGAUUCCUUUUCUUACCAAAAUCAAGUCUUUCAAAGUCAUCCAACAGAUUUGAAUAAAAUUCAUUACUUGGGUUGUUUUAUUAUCGAAAAAAAAUCAUCAAAGAUCCAAAUUGUGAGCUCAAAAGGCAAAACGGUUGAAGAAUUUGGAUUUGGGGGCUUAACAACAAUACAUGACUCGCUAUGGGAGUCGAGUUUGGGGCACGUACGGUCACCAUUGACAGACGGCCAAUUAAACUCCAAUUUUGAGACACACUGUUCGAAGAGAUGCUACCGAGGUUGAGCUCCGUCCAUUAGCUUCACACAUGUUUCUCUAUUUUUUUCAUUGGGUUUUGAGAUUUACAAUUGUAUCAGUUGGUUUAUUUGGGACUUCUUCUCAAUACAUUGGAAAAGUUUCAUUGCUCAAGGUCCGAUUCUUUCUUUCCUUUGCUAUUCUAUUUUAUUUCUCUAUGGUUCAAACAUUUUAUAUCCAUAUUAUUGAUGCUUUAUUACUUCACUUUUUAUGUGUAUUUACCUUUAAAUUCUUAAUAUUUUCCGUCAUAGUGGGUUUCAUGAGAUAUUGGUACUAAUAUUUGUAACUGACUUGUUAAAUUGAUGAACCAAGCGUUUUUGGCACUUUUCUGCUGGGAAGUUUAUUGGAUGUAACUUUUAAAAGCUUGCUUUUGUUUGGUGUUAGCUACGUGAAAUAUUUCAAAUAGGGUCAUGUUAAUUCUUAGUUUAAUUAGGUGAUUGAUACAACUGUUUGGUUAGUAUAUUAGUUGUUUCUUUAAUAUUGACUGUAAGUUCUUUUAGCUACAGUAGAAAUGAAUCUUAAUGUUGAGAACAGAAUGUUAAGUUAUAUUUAGUGACUUAUUAAUAAUAACUAAAAUCGUACACUUUUUUGCAAAAUAAUUCCAUAAUUGAUGACUUUGCGAUAAUUCGAAACUUAGGAAAAUAAUCAAGAACAUCAUAGUCUGCUUUAGACACGAUUAAUAAUUAUCGUGGCCAUGGGUACGGUUCCCGUGGCAUGGUCAUGAUACAUAAAUCCAAAUUCGGGUGUGCAUUUCAUGUGACCCGACCAUAACCUCGAACAAUAGUAAAAAUAAACACGUUGUACAUCGCGGGUGCAUUUCAUGUGACGUGGUUUGCAAUGUGUACCAAAACGACAAGUGUACGACAAUUGUGCCUUGUUCCAGAAAUAACUCCAUAAAUAAUUAAAAGCGGUUUUAAAGUUAAAAAUGCACCUAGGUUUAAAAUGUGUAAUUAAUUAGAUAAUUAAGCCGGAUAUAACAGUUGAGAGACCGUGCUAGAACCACGGAACCCAGGAAUGCCUAACACCUUCUCCCGGGUUAACAAAAUUCCUUACCCGGAUUCCUGUGUUUGUGGACUGUAAUACAUAGUCAAGCUUUUCCUCGAUUCGGGAUUCAACCGGUGACUUGGGACACCAUAAAUCUCCCAAGUGGCGACUCUGAAUUUAAUAAAUAAAUCCCGUUUCGAUUGUCCUUUAAUUGGAAAAACUCCCUAUAUAUACUUCCUUUUACGGGGGUGUAGGUAAAAAGGGAGGUGUGACAAUGCAUGCACAAUUUUAAAUAGAGUAAGGUUUCAAUGGGGUUUAGACUGGUACCUUCAAGUGGACAACUCGAGAGGGAUGGAACUGUCACGCCCCGACCUCGAGAGGUGCGACCGGCGCUCAAUCGAGUGAACCCAACUGAGCAAGCCUUAUCAAACACUACUCAUCCAACUCAAUAUGAAUAAGGAAACCAUGCAUUCAUUUAUUUAGACCAGGAAAGAUAGUACAUUCAACAUUUUAGUUCAUUUUAUAUCACAACAUUAAAUCAUAGUUAAGUGUCCAAGAUUCCAUACAGCUAUAGUUUAAAAGAAUGCAAGAGUACAAGGUUGCAACAUGGUUCAUUGACCUAUCCAAUACCUGUACAUAACCCACACAAACGUCUACGGAGCCUCUAAGGAUACAAAAGAUAGUGAUGACAAUGCCAGCAACAAAGCCCCGGCUAUACCUCAAAAUGGAUAGUUAUAACAAAAGGUGUACAACAUGACCCUUUGAAGGAGGAAGGGCUCACCAAGAUUUUGAGAAAAGAAUGCACUGCUACACACGAUCGGCACUAUCCCCUAUGGAGCCACCUACAUUCAUUUAAAAAUGUAGCGCCCCGGCAAAAGGGACGUUAGUACCAUGAAGUACUAGUAUGUAUAACUAAACACCAUCUAGUUAGAAAGAACUAUACAAGAACAAGAAUUCAAAAAUAUAACUCAAAACUUCAAACGAUCACCACAUUAUCAAUCAAAAGAAUCGUGCAACUUCCACAUCAUUUUCCUUAGCUUUUUAGUUUGGGGCAUUCCAUACUACUCAUCAUUAGUUCACAAUACCAUCGCUAUCUUGAGAGGAGUCCGAUCUCGACCCGAUCGGCUAGGUCGCCUUAUUUGGGACAUAUACUUCAAUUAUAAUCUCAUUUUCCUUCUUUUCCGGAAUUUAUUCACAAUACCACCGCUAUCUUGAGCGGAGUCCGAUCUCGGCCCGAUCGGCUAGGCCGCCUUUCCAAGGCAUUGCUCCCAUUGCAUUAAUCACUUCGUUUCACAUAUAUCAUUUCAUAGGCACUUGGGGCCACAACUUAUCACAUUAUCCUUGGCACUAGGCCACAUUUUAUUACAUCAUUCCCAUAUUCAACAUUAGCUUUGCCACUUAGAAAAGUAGGUGCACACAAGAGCAGUUUAAAUCAUAAGCAUAGAUAACACUUCACGUAGAUGGCACAACAAUGCAACUUCAAUCGAAAUUUAAGGUCUAAGCAUUCAAUACAUGAUUCAUAUUCCAUAAUUCACGUUUCACAUUGUUCACAUUUUCAAUAUUUACUUUGCCACUUAAGAUCAUAGGCGCAUACGAAGGCAAUUUAAAUCAUAAGCAUAGAGAAGAAUUCGUCAAGUUUGGCAUAUUAGUUCCAAAGUAACCUUGGCAUGACAUUUAGGCAUUAGCGCAUAGACCAUGUUCUCCACACAUCCUUCAUAUACAAAGAAUAACAUAUUAAACACAGGAAGAAGUACCUACCACGUACAUUUUCACAAUAAUAAUCCACCCUUAAUCUUACCGCAUUAACACAAACACCAACGUAGCUCAAUUUCUNNNNNNNNNNNNUUUAAGCAAUAUAGCACAAUUUAACUCAUAAUCAAGAAAAGAACAUAAUCUAAGCUCUCUUGAGCAUUUUACCGAGCAAUUAGUGUUCAUUAAGGCCUUAUGGUUCUUAAUAUGCAAGAUUACACUAGCCCAUUACCCAUGCCUCCUCUUUUAUAAUUCCCCAUACUCAUCAAGAACACAUGCAUGCAAUGCAAACCCCCUUACCCCAAUGAAUUACCUCACUAAUGACCCUUUAUAGCUAUGUGUAAACAUGAGAGCUGAGGCGAUGAAGCCUUACCUCUUGGGAUGAGGGUUUAGGUCCCUCACUUGAUUAUCUUCAAUAUUUUAACAAGGAUUUUUGGAUCAAUAUUGAUGAAAGUUACUUCCCCUCUCUAAGACCCCCUCUCUCUCUAAAAGCAUCAGGAAAAUAGGCUCAAAAUGAGCUAUUACACUAUAUAUAAUGAUAGGAGGUCGGGUUUAAAAUUUAGAAAAUUGGAGCCCCGAGUCAGAUCUGCGAUCGCAAAGCUAACAUGUGGCCCGCACAAUGGACCACAAAAAUGCUCCCCAAAACAUGAACACACUGUCUGGGUAUGCGGUAGAAAUGUCGUCUGCAUACCCGUUCUGAGGUCGCAUAAUGCACCGCAGAACUGCCCCUUACAAAAUCCCAAGGGAAAUAUGCGAUGACUAUGCGGUCCUCAUAUUAGUUAUGCGAUCGCAUAGUUGACCUCAAAUUUUACCAACACACUGACUCAUUUUCCGGCGACUAUGCGGUCCGCAUACCUGAUAUGCGACCGCAUUCUCGACCGCAGAAUCGCACUUUUUUAGAAAACAUUAUUUCUUGACUUUUUAGAGCAUAGAUCAGUCCAAAAAGGUCCGAACCGCGGCUCGCAAUCUCGCCGCAAAGAAUUUUAUGAAUUUCUAAUACAUAUUCCUAACUUAGCACCACGAGAUUCGGGUUUUUCAGCAAAAAUCUUCACGGGGCCUUACAGGAACCGUCGACUGCACCGUUGAUCGACUGGUUUUACCGCAAAUAAGACUUUCCGAAUUUAAGGGUAGUAAAUAGGAAGAGUGCAACCACUCAUUAAAGUUUUGCUAUAGGAUUUGAGACGCACGAGUGGAAUAUGAUGCGGAGCAUGAUUUAUGCAGCAAUUAAUAACAUGUAGUCAAGUAUUUUCACAUAGGAAAAAUAAAUACAGUAUUUAAAUACUUGAAGGACAAUUACAGGAAAAAAAAAGAAAAUAAAGAGACAAGUCAGUUUCAGGGCAAUAAAGAAAUCAUAAAUACUUGAAAAAUAGACAGUUAAAUCCAAAUAAAGAGGCAGGGUACGGGAUAAGCAUGCUUGGACUAAUUUGUAAAAGACAAGUUCAUUAUGGUAAAAGCCUAAAAAUAUCCCAAGUAGAGUCGCCAUGUUGUCGCGCCCCUAUUUUCCCUCCCCUUUUUGAGACGGGAAGAAGUCCGGGUUUCGACAUUCACGGGGUGUAAUGACUCAUUUCCUUUUGGAAAUUGGGUAUUUUAAGAGUCGCCACCUAAUAGAUUAUGGUGCGUUAGGGCACCUAGAGCGAUUAACUCUUGGGUUGGUUUGCAUUACCAGAGAUUAGGGUAAGGGCUCGAAAUAACCUCGAGGGGAAGGUGUUAGGCACCCCUAUUGGUCCACAAUUGUGGGUCUCGACCAAACUUAUAUUCACAAAUUAGUCCAUAUAAACAGUUGAAUUAAACAAGUUGCAAGUAAAGCACGUGCGAUAAUUCAAGUAGUAAGAUAAAGGUUUGAACAAGUUGUAAAACAAAGAUUUCAAUCAAAGAAAUGAUUUAGUAAAGAGGGGUCCUAGGUUGGUUAUCCUAUAAAGGAUUUAGUAAAGAGGGGUCCUAGGUUGGUUAUCCUAUAGGGUCACCCCACUCAAUGUUCGGUAAACACUCCUCAAUAAGGGGAUACACGUGACAUUAAUGCGUAGUCAUCAUAUCCCAUGUCUACCCUUCCCAUCCCCUUAUUGGUCAUGCAAAGCGAGUAUUUGAUCAAUGAUUCCUAUUACAUGUUGCUACCCGUCCCUUCUUAAUGGUCCUGGAGGGAGUUAGGACCACUACCUAUAGGUGGUUCUAGAUGAACCCCUAAGGUUUUAAAAGGAAAAAAUUCUAAGGCGAUAGUCAAAAGCAUUUAGGACUUUCACACAUAAUGAGAACAAUUAAGAGGCUCAAAGUUUCCUCCUCAAACAAACACACAAGCAACACGACUCAAGCACAGUUAAGGUAUUUUAUUAAACAAUGUCCUAAAGCAGGAUAUCUAAGUGAAUAUGCAGAAAUAGACAACCUUUUUUUUACUUAGAAGUUACAACCUAGUGGUUGCCUAGGGACUCUUUUGAAAGCAUGUAAGGAUCAGAAACGUUAAGCGACAAGGAUAGUUUAAGAGAAAUGCAAUUUUGAAAAUGCCCUAAAGGCUUGCCUAUAUGCAAAAUACUAGUUUCUAUGCAUAAACAAAUAGAUUUUGAACUAGACUUCUUCAAUACCUAUAGGCAUGAUAUCUAAUGAGAUUGAGGUAGUUUUGAAAGAACAUGUUUUAGCAAAUGCUUAAUGCUUAAUAAGACCAAUUUAAUAAUGAACUAGGCACAAUGAAGUUGAUUUAUUUGACUAAGUUAAAUUAACAGACAGAAUUGUGAGUAGGGCUUCCUAUAGGGAUGAUAUCUAGGCGGAUUACAGAUUUUAAGACACCAUUGUUUAGGACCCUAUGUGCAUAGUUUCUAAACAUGACAAAAUGUAAAACCUUAUAAGCAUGGUUUCUACUUGAUAAGUAAACAAGCUUUAAAAGUAAAGCCUUAUAGACAUGAUUUCUAUUAGGCAAAGCAAACAUAUUAAAGAGUAAAGUCCUAUGAGCAUGUUUUCUACUUAGGCAAAUAAUCAGACUUUAAAAUUAAGGUUAUAAGAGCAGGAUUUCUACCCGUAUUACCCCAGAAAGUAUGCAUCUACCCACCCUUUUACUAAAUACCCCAAUAUCUGUUUACAAAUUAUUACAGGCCAAUGAAUAAAUUACAUAAGUAAAAAUAGAAAAUCAAGAAGCUAUUCUAUAGGGAGCCUUCAAUUAGGCUCAAGUUCCAUAGCCUCCAAUGGUCUCACAAGCCUCAAUUCCAUAAACAAAUCAGAGUCUAGGUGCAUCAAAGUUCCCUAAGGAUCUCAAGGAUCCCGGGCAGUGCUUACACCUAGACUUAGUAACCAAAGAUUGAACAAGUGCAGUGUGGAAAGGCCAGCCUUAGUAUGCCAGAGUUCAGAGGGUUCUCAAAAGGUUCCCAAGGCAGUACACAUACUAGAGGGGGCAGAACUUAUUGACUAAGAGUAGAGUGAGAAGUUAUGGACACAAGUUGAAAAGGUUUUAGAAGAAACUGCAUUUUUGAAAAUAAUGUAGUAAAACAAUCAGAGACUUGUUUGAAGAGAUGAACAGAAGUUAAAAUACCUUAGGACAGGUUUACACAUAGCUGGUUCAUAAAACUAAGUAAAUUCAAUAAUCACACACAGGGGUCAAGGGGUUUGGGACACAUAGAGCAGUUGACUACAAACACAUAACCCAACAAGGGUCUAGGACUGGUUUAAUCAUGCUCAAAAAUAGCUGACACUGGCAUAGUCACAAAACAAGUCCGGAAAGAUACAACAAUAUAGAGGGGUGAUAGGGAUUUACGAAUUCAUGGUAUAUAGGAUAGUAAGUACACAACAAGUAGGAGAUAAGACAUGCUCAGAAACACACAUAAAGGGGGAAUACACUGACCUAAAGGAAGGGGAAGACAUAAUAUCAUGCUGAUAAUGUACUCUUAACUACAAAUUUCACAACAGAAACACAAAUAGAAGCAAACUAGAAACAAGAGAAACUGAAACAAUAAGAGAAUCAUGUUGUUGUUGGAAUUUUGAAUUGAAACUAGGACAUACCAAUUAAGAGGAGAGUAAGCAGAAUGAAAAGAACAAGAGAGAGCACAAAUGAUUAGCCUUAGCUUGUAGCCGGCUAACAGUAGCAAAUAGCAUAAUAGAGAGCAGAGAUUUUUAGUAUGAGAGAUAGUUUUAGACCCAAGUGUUCGUCUCUUGUGUUAAUGAAAGACUAGAGUUUUUAUAGUUGAAAACACGUAGUAAAAUAAGGUAAGAAUCAUAGUAGUAUGGUAAUUAAGGAACUCAAAAUCAGUUAGUCAGAAAAUCAAGGUCAGUACUCCCUUAAGUUAAGGGAAUUAAUUCAAACGGUAAGAACCAGUAGCAUAUAAGGCAAGAGAAAAUCAGUACAUGACUAGUAAGGAAAGAGUCAAGGUUCACUAAGCAUCGGGUGGCCAAUUAGGCCUAGGUUCAGCAAACUUCAAUUAAGGAAACUUCAAUUAAGUCAGAAUAAAAUACCACAGCAAAUAAGGUAGGGAAUCAGUCAAUUUAAACAAAUGAGGUAAAAUUUUGGGGUUUCAAAAGAAAUCAUUCAAUGAAACCAUCAGUUAAGAAAAUCAGAAUCAAUCAAGAGGGAGUCAUGAUUCUAUACCUCAACAUAUAAAUAGAGAAGGACAAACAGUCGUGCAAACAAGCAAGGUCAGAAAUAUUUACAGAAAGAGGCAAGAGAUAAACAAAUCAAGAUGAAUAUAUUCACAGAGGUGAUACAAGUAGACCAAGGACUCAAUAAAACCCAUUCGAAGCAUUUUAACCAACAAAAACUUAACAAGAGUUGAGUAGUCAUGCUAACACACAGCAUCAAAACAAAGAAGAUCUAAAAAUUAGGACUUUUAACAUAGGCGAGUUAAAAAGCAGUAAUAACAUAGAAUCAGUCAAGAUAUGCGAGGAAAAAGGUUUAAACAUAAAGAGAAAUCAGUUUAAACAAGUGUAGAAGAAACUUUGAGAAACCCUAACUUUAAAGAAAGUAAAAACAGCUUAAAGUUGAUGAUUUUACAAAAGAAGUUUGAGAAUAGUGUAAAACUUAGAAAGAAACAGACUUAAAUCGUUAAAAGGAACACAUAUAUGAGAGAUACAAACGAAAGUUUGGGUUUCAAAACAAACCCAAAUAGAAACGGAAGAACCUUCUAUAAACUUCAAAGAUCGUAACAUAUAUGGUGUGAUUUUGCCCAAAAUCACACCGGAGAGGCCAUGAACAACCAAACUAGAAACCCUAGAUAUAAAUCGUCAUGGACCAGGGCCCUUGAUGGCCUCAGAGAUGAUGAGCAAGGCGAUGGGCUUGGGGUUGAAAGGUGGUCGCAGGAGAUGACCGGAGAAGGAGGCAGCGAUUGAAGGGGAUUAGGGUUAGGUUGAGAGAAGAGAGGAGAUGAGAGCGUUUGAGGGCGGUGGAAUCUCAGAAAUGAGAUAGGGUUAGUGGUCUUUAGGAUUAAAAAAGGAAAGAGCUCGUUUAGACCGCCCUAGAUCAACGGUCAGGAUUUGACCGGGUAUAUGCAUUCCGGGUUUGGGUAGGAGUUUAUAAGGUCUGGGUCGGGUUAAUUGGGUAGGAAAUUGGGCUGGGGUUGGGUUAAAAUUAGGCUAGAAUUGAAAGCCAAAUUUGACUAUGAUUUAAAUAGCCACUUUUCCCUAUUUUAAUUUAUAAUAAAUAAUAAAUAGUUUUCUGAAAAUAAUUCUUCUAUACCAAUAUGAUUUAAAAUAUAUAAUUAUCAUUUUAAAUAUAUAGGGACCAAUUUCACGCCUAUAAUAUAUAAUUAUACAUUAAAAUGGGCUAACAUUGCAAUUAUAUGCAAUUUAGCUUAAAAAAAAUACUAAAUGUAAUUAUCAAAAUGCAUGAAAAACAUAUUUGUCAUAUUUUGGCAUAAGUAUAGAAAUUAAAUGAAUAAAUCUUCCUAACAAUAAUUUUGAAAAUAAUUAUUGGGGAUUUUAUGAAUAAAAAGGAGGAAAAUAAAUCAAUUUAAACCCUUAAAAUUAUGAAACAAUUAUAAAAACAUUGUGCAUGCAUAUAUAUAUAUAUAUAUAUAUAUAUAUAUAUAUAUAUAUANNNNNNNNNNNNNNNNNNNNNNNNNGAUUUAAAUGAGUUUAAAGUUAUAAUAUGACUAUAUAUGAUGUUUGGAUAUAAUAUUUAAAGUUUGAAAAAAAAUCGGAUUUAGGUUGCGGAAAAACUAACUAAGGAUUUGCCUUGUAACGAAGCUUUUUGAGCAAUAUAUUUCAUGUGCUAUAUGAGGUAUUCUUGGGACAUAUUACAUACCAAAUUGAAGGUCUGGCAAUUUAGUUUCCAAAUCUCUGAAUCAUUCAUUCAUACAAUAUACGGAUAGAAAGAUAUAAGUGUCGGAAGAAGAGCCAAUGCUAGGGUGUCAAGCUAGCACCUCUUUGACUUUUCAAAAGUGGAUACAUAUAUCCCUUAUGUCAUCUCUUUCUUCAUUAUUCCCCAGACCACGACCAAAAUAAGACCAUAAACUUACCCUUAAGCUCUUUACAAGGGUUUCAACAAAGAUUAACAUCUCGGGUACAAAAUCGAGAAGCGGUAACACUAGAACGAUCCCUACGAUGUAAGUAUCAUUAUACCGCCUCUCUUUUUCUUUGUAGUUAGUUUUGGAAGGUACUUAAGAGUUUAAAAAAUGCUUAAUUUCUGUAUUUAAGUUUUUAAAUAUCAAGUAAGGUUGAUAAAUUUGUUUCCUAAUAGUUAGAACUCACGGGACGAUGAUUGGAAGCCGUGAGUUGAUUUAUUCCACUUUUAGUUGACUAUUUUGUAGUCCAUUCGUAUUGGCUUAUUUUGCUAAUGAUUUAUGGAGUUUGGAAGGAUGAAAGGUCGUGGAGAAAUGCCACAUGUGGUAGGUAAUGGGCUGGUCGCUAAACGUUGCACUUUCAUAACUUGAUGAUUGGAUAUGUUAUGGUAUAUUUGGUGUUAUUGAAGGUCAUGAAUUGUAGUUGGGUUGUUUUUGAGGUGCUGAUUGUAUUGUGUUGGUAUAUCGCCUAUAGUAGGCUUGAGGGAGCAGUAAAAUCAGGGGAAAUGCUGCCCGUUUUAUUUUAGAAUCGAGUUAUCGUCUGAGAUACAUGAUAUACUAGCGUCAUCUAAGUUGUACAUGUAUUUCUUUGUUAUAGGGUUGGCGCGCUAGUUGUUAUGAGCUUGUUGUUGAGUUGCACUGACGCCUCGAGUUAUGCUAUGGCUAUCCCUUCUUUCCUUUUGGAACGAUCCAUAUAAUACAAUGAAACGAGCAAGCAUGCAACUUUCACAAAUGAUUCUAUUCUUAGAAGAACUAGGGUUACCUAUGUUCUUGAUUCCCCAUAUGUCCUACUAUCAUAUCAUCUGUUCAUGGGUCUCAUGACAUCCCGAGAGAUCUUAUUGACUUACUUAUAGUAUAUGUAUAUGGGGUGUGGAGAAAGGUUAUGGCAUUAUAUAUGCAACACCACUUGAUCAGCUGGCAUACGUUGAUGAUCCCUGAGGCUGAGAUGAUAUGAUGGGUUGACAUUAGAGGCCUGAUGAUGUUAUGUACGCAUAUACCUAUCCAUGAUAUGAUAUUUAUACGCAUAUGCAUGACAUUAUAAGUGUUUUAUGAUUCACAGAGCUAUUCAGACUUACAGGUUGAGUCCUUUACUCCACGUUUCUUUCAUGACUUUUAUAUACCUUUUUUUAUGACUUACAUACUCGAUACAUUAUUCUCACUGACACCCCUAUUACCUGGGGUCCUGCGUUUCAUGCCCAAAUGUGCAGGUAGACAGGCUGAUGGUCCCCCUUCUUAGGAUCCUGGCUCAGCGAGAGUUGGUUCACUCUACUUGAUCUGGAGCUAUUGUUGGGUUUUGGUACGAUACUUUUGUAUACAUAUAUGGGUAUGAUGGGGCCCAAUCCAUCAUUUAUGUAGUUGUACACUUUAUUAGAGGUCUGUAAACAGUCAUGUAUAGUUGGAUAGCAUAUGGCCUUGUCGGCUCGCCCUAUCGUAUUCCGUAUAUAUAUGUAUAUAUGUCUUUGGGGCAUGUUUUCCUGCAUAUGUUAUUCACAUGAAUUGGUAGUUUAUUGCCAGAAUUUAUGCAUGACCUACACUUAUUUCAUGUUUAUAUCUUAGAAGUAUGCUUAGGGGUAUUUGACAGGUAGAACUGGGGCACUCGUCACGGCCCAUCAAUUUAGGUCAUGACAAAAGUGGUAUUAAAGCAGUUCCAUCCUAGGCUUGUCUACAGACCGUGUCUAGUAUAGUCUUGUUUAUGAGUGUCUUGUGCAUCACACUUAUAAAUAGAAGGUUACAAGACAUAUAGGAUGCUAUCCUCCCUUCUUAACUUCGAUUAUGCGAUAUAAGGAUUCAUUUUCCUAACGAUAUGUUAUGUUUUUAGUGAUGCCCAAGAAGGCUACAGCCGCCAAGAAGGGCAAUACUAUGGCUGAUGAGACUAC